This is a long non-coding RNA of Labrus mixtus (cuckoo wrasse), 1117 nucleotides long. RefSeq lists it as uncharacterized. Lineage: Eukaryota; Metazoa; Chordata; Actinopteri; Labriformes; Labridae. The transcript is spliced from 2 exons. The record is from RefSeq and is a predicted model, not a curated record.
UCAACAGCUUCUUUGUCAUGUGUGGUUCCAGCAUCGAUGGUGACGGUGACGUAUCACACUGGACCACUGACAUCCUGAUGACACCUGACAGUGACCAGGAGCUGCUUUAUUAACAGGCUCCCUCAGUCCACUUCAUCCACCCACACUGAAGCAUUCUCACUGUAUUAUCAUGGCGUUGUCACCGUUCUCGUCCAUGACCUGACGGGUAGGAGCCGGCGCUCUGCGGCUUCCACUGCUGCUGCUGAAGAGCAUCAGAGAGGGACGAGAGGCCUUCGCAGGAGGAGGUCCCAGAGAGGAAGAGGAGUGGGAGGAAGAGGAAGAGGGGAAGGGAGCCACAGUGGCCCUGACCUUGCUGUUUGUUCCCUGUUGGCGACCCUGGUUCUGUGGCUGAGAAGACAAGACAGAUAACGUCUUAUAAGGAAAAAUAGAGAUAAAGAGGAGGAGGCGGGGGACAUGGGCAGGAUAACAGAAAACAAAGUAAAGAGAGCUUAGGGUGAGUUUAAGAGCAGUGGAUGAUAAGAGAGCGUGCCAAAGUACAAACAGAACAUCAGCAGAGCUGUAAUGAACUAUUUGCAUGUAAAGUCCUGAUAGGUCAAACUGACAACAGCUACACAGAUUCACAGCUUAUAGGCCGCAGUUCACGUAACAAAAUGACAGUGAAGGAUGAAAUGAUGCAACUUAUUAAAGUGAGACAGCCUGAAAAAAAUGACAAACUACAUGUUGAGACCUUUGCAUGAAGGGCCGCUCUUAUUACAGCUGGUUUGAUUUCUAAAUGUCAAGAUUCUGAACACGUCUUUCUUUAAGGUCACUUCCAAACUCGUCCCAGAGCACCACACAAUAACAAUAACUGAUUCAUUUCACUCCUACUUAAGUUCCUGUUGAGCCACUGUUUGUGUUAAUGCAGUCUGUCUGUCAGAAUCACUUCCACUCUCCUGCACAUCAUAUUGACAGUCAUGUUUCUGCUUGUGUCAGUGGAUUUAUGUUUUGUAUGCCAAAUGGUAAGUGCUGCCAUCUAUCGGGUUGACUUAGAAUUGAGGGUGAAGAGGAAGUUCCUUUACUGCUGCACUCACUCUCUGCACACAACCCUAACAAGGUUCAUAAAGAUAUUCCUCCUCCU